GAGUUUGAUUCUGGCUCAGAUUGAACGCUGGCGGCAUGCUUUACACAUGCAAGUCGGACGGCAGCACGGGUGCUUGCACCUGGUGGCGAGUGGCGAACGGGUGAGUAAUGCAUUGGAACGUACCGAGUAGUGGGGGAUAACUGUCCGAAAGGAUAGCUAAUACCGCAUACGACCUCAGGGUGAAAGCAGGGGACCUUAGGGCCUUGCGCUAUUUGAGCGGCCAAUGUCUGAUUAGCUGGUUGGUGGGGUAAAGGCCUACCAAGGCGACGAUCAGUAGCGGGUCUGAGAGGAUGAUCCGCCACACUGGGACUGAGACACGGCCCAGACUCCUACGGGAGGCAGCAGUGGGGAAUUUUGGACAAUGGGCGCAAGCCUGAUCCAGCCAUGCCGCGUGUCUGAAGAAGGCCUUCGGGUUGUAAAGGACUUUUGUACGGGAAGAAAAGGUUGUGGAUAAUACCCCAUGACUGAUGACGGUACCCGUAAGAAUAAGCCCC
This 494-nucleotide ribosomal RNA is filed under the name Conchiformibius sp. canine oral taxon 289. RNAcentral describes it as "bacterial SSU rRNA". It matches the Rfam family "Bacterial small subunit ribosomal RNA", at positions 9 to 494 of the family's 1533-position model. Lineage: Bacteria; Pseudomonadati; Pseudomonadota; Betaproteobacteria; Neisseriales; Neisseriaceae. The record is from RNAcentral.